Molecule: ribosomal RNA, 305 nt
Filed under: uncultured bacterium
Lineage: Bacteria
Description: bacterial SSU rRNA
Rfam family: Bacterial small subunit ribosomal RNA
Source: RNAcentral
GCCUACGGGGGGCAGCAGUAGGGAAUCUUCCACAAUGGGCGAAAGCCUGAUGGAGCAACGCCGCGUGGGUGGAGAAGGUCUUCGGAUCGUAAAACCCUGUUGUUAGAGAAGAAAGUGCGUGAGAGUAACUGUUCACGUUUCGACGGUAUCUAACCAGAAAGCCACGGCUAACUACGUGCCAGCAGCCGCGGUAAUACGUAGGUGGCAAGCGUUAUCCGGAUUUAUUGGGCGUAAAGGGAACGCAGGCGGUCUUUUAAGUCUGAUGUGAAAGCCUUCGGCUUAAGCGGAGUAGUGCAUUGGAAACU